GAUCCUGGCUCAGGAUGAACGCUGGCGGCGUGCUUAACACAUGCAAGUCGAACGAAGCACUUUAUUACGAUUUCUUCGGAAUGACGAUUUAGUGACUGAGUGGCGGACGGGUGAGUAACGCGUGGGUAACCUGCCUUAUACAGGGGGAUAACAGUUAGAAAUGACUGCUAAUACCGCAUAAGCGCACAGGAUUGCAUGAUCUGGUGUGAAAAACUCCGGUGGUAUAAGAUGGACCCGNGU
This 240-nucleotide ribosomal RNA is filed under the name uncultured bacterium. RNAcentral's name for it is "partial 16S ribosomal RNA". It matches the Rfam family "Bacterial small subunit ribosomal RNA", at positions 15 to 236 of the family's 1533-position model. The record is from RNAcentral.